AGACAGAGACCUAGUCAACAGCGACUGCCUGCUCCCCACAGCAGGAGACAACUGCAGCUACAGGGAUGGGCCGUGUCUGGGUGCUUUUCUCUUUCUUGGUUCUUCUCAUUUUUUAAUGCUUUUCCCUUUUCCUUUCUUCUCUCAUCAGGGUUCUCCUUCAGCAACAAAUUUAAUAAAAGGGGAGGAGGUGUUGGAAAAACUUCCAGUUACAACUAGCAGCUACGAGCAGCUUGCAGUGCUUGAGGAAUCCGCAUUCCUUCAGGCCUGACAGGAACACCUGCAGGAUGGGGUGCUCUGCUCUAGGAGCCGUCCAUGAAACCACAUCCUCCGCACUGUGGUUAGCAUUGCCAAACUACCAGGCCAGGAAACCGAGUCAGGGGCUGCAGGGCAUGAAAUCCCUGACUCAAUAAGCCCUUCUCUUAGGGCCAAAGACCCUUUCAGAUUGCUUUCCACCACGACAGCAAUAUUUAGAGUUUCCUCACAGUGUGGUUACAUUAGGCAGAAGAUGAUUGGCUUAUGGAUAUUGUCUUGCUUAUGUAUGAUUGACAGGCACGUCCCACUCAAACCCUAUAACAGUUGUGUGCAUUCCAAAAAGAAACUGAGCUACUGGAGUCGAGUUGAGGUUUGUCACCAGUCAGUUCUCACCAGCUCCCGGAGUCUGUGUGUUGAGUCCGAAUGUCUCUUACCCCCCCACACCCCUGCGACUAAGUUAGCCAAGCAACUAAUUCACCACACCAGUGACAGGAACAUAUGCAAGACAGCAUAUGAGAAACCUAAACCAGCCAAUUAUGCUGGUCUUUAAUGAUACAGUAUAUAUGAACAAUUGUCAGAAAGAUUAUUAAAAUAGAUUUUCCAAGAGUAUUUACAUUACUGACAGACCUAAUAGACUCCUUAAAUGUGAGAAUUAAGAAAAAAGAUGAUAAAUAUCUUGUAACCUGUAAAAAUACAACUUAUUGUAUCAUUAGUUUAUUGCCAGCUAAUAUUUCAGAGCUAUGAUAUGCUGAGGUUAAUAUUCAGGCUUUAAAACAGGUGUAUGUCAAUUAACCAGACCUAAGCAAACUGCUGGUCUCAUAAUCCCUAAAGUGACUACUUUAAAUAUUAUUCCUUGCUUAUUCAAUUGUAGCCUUUGUGGCUAUACCUUAAAAUUUACAAUGUAUGGAUUUUCUUAAUGUUUGACUUAAAUUACUUCCAAAAUCCUUCAUGGUCAGAUAAGCUGAUGGAAGGAUGAGAACUAAGUUAUAAUGCUCUAGAAGACAAUGUAAUAAAUAAUGUGAAUGAGCCCUCUGCUAAUGAAAAUGUCUAUGUUACUAUGGCCAAAUGCAA
RNAcentral lists this long non-coding RNA (1323 nucleotides) under Marmota monax (woodchuck). The record is from RNAcentral. Lineage: Eukaryota; Metazoa; Chordata; Mammalia; Rodentia; Sciuridae.